Molecule: long non-coding RNA, 283 nt
Filed under: Nicotiana benthamiana
Lineage: Eukaryota; Viridiplantae; Streptophyta; Magnoliopsida; Solanales; Solanaceae
Description: long non-coding RNA (NBEN_LNC041430)
Source: RNAcentral
CACAAUGAACAAGUUUACCACAGAACUUCACACCUUGUAAUCGAAAAAAGUUUUUGAAAACACCAUCCCUUAACUUCUCCCAUUGCUUGUUCGACAAGAGACCUUUUAUUGUUUUCUUAUACUGAAAAUAUCCUUCUCAAUAUCUCAUCAAAUUAUGCCAAACAUCAAACUUGAAAAACAUGAUCUCCUUCCAUUAGCACACUACAAAGGAGGAAAAAGAACAUAACAAAUUAGGACUAUUUUCCUGAAAUGUCCUUAUUAUUUAAACUAAAAAACUAAAAUC